This 570-nucleotide ribosomal RNA is filed under the name Alternaria sp. R183. Its description in RNAcentral is "eukaryotic LSU rRNA". The stretch from base 198 to 351 matches the Rfam family "5.8S ribosomal RNA". Lineage: Eukaryota; Fungi; Ascomycota; Dothideomycetes; Pleosporales; Pleosporaceae. The record is from RNAcentral.
GCUCUCGCUAGUGACCUGCGGAGGGAUCAUUACACAAAUAUGAAGGCGGGCUGGAACCUCUCGGGGUUACAGCCUUGCUGAAUUAUUCACCCUUGUCUUUUGCGUACUUCUUGUUUCCUUGGUGGGUUCGCCCACCACUAGGACAAACAUAAACCUUUUGUAAUUGCAAUCAGCGUCAGUAACAAAUUAAUAAUUACAACUUUCAACAACGGAUCUCUUGGUUCUGGCAUCGAUGAAGAACGCAGCGAAAUGCGAUAAGUAGUGUGAAUUGCAGAAUUCAGUGAAUCAUCGAAUCUUUGAACGCACAUUGCGCCCUUUGGUAUUCCAAAGGGCAUGCCUGUUCGAGCGUCAUUUGUACCCUCAAGCUUUGCUUGGUGUUGGGCGUCUUGUCUCUAGCUUUGCUGGAGACUCGCCUUAAAGUAAUUGGCAGCCGGCCUACUGGUUUCGGAGCGCAGCACAAGUCGCACUCUCUAUCAGCAAAGGUCUAGCAUCCAUUAAGCCUUUUUUUCAACUUUUGACCUCGGAUCAGGUAGGGAUACCCGCUGAACUUAAGCAUAUCAUAAGCCGGAG